This 200-nucleotide ribosomal RNA is filed under the name uncultured bacterium. Its description in RNAcentral is "partial 16S ribosomal RNA". It matches the Rfam family "Bacterial small subunit ribosomal RNA", at positions 328 to 539 of the family's 1533-position model. The record is from RNAcentral.
ACGCUCGACACCUACGAGAGGCAGCAGUGGGGAAUAUUGCACAAUGGGCGAAAGCCUGAUGCAGCAACGCCGCGUGAAGGAGGAAGGCCUUCGGGUCGUAAACUUCUGUCCUUGAGGAAGAAGAACUGACGGUACUCAAGGAGGAAGCCCCGGCUAACUACGUGCCAGCAGCCGCGGUAAUCUGAGCGGGCUGGCAAGGC